RNAcentral lists this ribosomal RNA (468 nucleotides) under uncultured bacterium. RNAcentral describes it as "partial 16S ribosomal RNA". It matches the Rfam family "Bacterial small subunit ribosomal RNA", at positions 28 to 507 of the family's 1533-position model. The record is from RNAcentral.
GACGAACGCUGGCGGCGUGCUUAACACAUGCAAGUCGAACGGAAAGGCCCUGCUUUUGUGGGGUGCUCGAGUGGCGAACGGGUGAGUAACACGUGAGUAACCUGCCCUUGACUUUGGGAUAACUUCAGGAAACUGGGGCUAAUACCGGAUAGGAGCUCCUGAUGCAUGGUGGGGGUUGGAAAAUUUCGGCGGUUGGGGAUGGACUCGCGGCUUAUCAGCUUGUUGGUGGGGUAGUGGCUUACAAAGGCUUUGACGGGUAGCCGGCCUGAGAGGCUGACCGGCCACAUUGGGCCUGAGAUACGGCCCAGACUCCUACGGGAGGCAGCAGUGGGGAAUAUUGCACAAUGGGCGGAAGCCUGAUGCAGCAACGCCGCGUGCGGGAUGCCGGCCUUCGGGUUGUAAACCGCUUUCGCCUGUGACGAAGCGUGAGUGACGGUAAUGGGUAAAGAAGCACCGGCUAACUACGUG